This 621-nucleotide ribosomal RNA is filed under the name Triticum aestivum (bread wheat). RNAcentral describes it as "partial small subunit ribosomal RNA". The record is from RNAcentral. Lineage: Eukaryota; Viridiplantae; Streptophyta; Magnoliopsida; Poales; Poaceae.
AUGGCUGGAACGGAGUGGUGCUGGCCGCUGCCGGCGUGGAUGGGCUCCGGCGCGGCGUGGUUCGUGGCCCUCAACCUCGUCGUGGGCGCCAUCUUCGCCCUGUCGUCGCGUGCGCAGCCGCAGUCGCCGUCGCCGCGCCGCGGCGGCAGCGGGAUCACGCGCAGGGCCUCGUCGGCGGUGCUGCAGCGCAUCCGCUCCUUCAGCAUCUUCUCCUUCCCGUCCUCGUCCUUCCACACGGCGGAGCCCAGCCCGGGCGGCGGCGCCGUCGCCGCCGCCACCACCUUCCGAGAAACAGAGGACGCGGGGACGCCGAGGAGGUCGCCAGCUACACCGCGUCCACCGCGCCCACACGCGACGGCAGAGCCGGCGAAAGAGGACGUCGUGGAAGACGAGAGCUCGAUGAGCAUGGACGAGGCGUACGCGCUCGCCCUGGCGGGGCGGCAGCGGGCGCCGCCGACGGAGGAGGAGGCGGCCGGGUCCGAGGUGGACGCCAAGGCGGAGGAGUUCAUCCAGGGGUUCAAGGAGGACCUCAGGCAGCAGCGCCUCAAGUCCAUCUUCAACUACACCCAGAUGCUCAAGCGCCGCGUCGCCGGCGGCCAGCCGCCUGCCGCUCCACAAUGA